Molecule: ribosomal RNA, 372 nt
Filed under: uncultured bacterium
Lineage: Bacteria
Description: bacterial SSU rRNA
Rfam family: Bacterial small subunit ribosomal RNA
Source: RNAcentral
GUACCGGGGCAAGCGUUGUCCGGAUUUAUUGGGCGUAAAGAGCGUGUAGGCGGCCAGACAGGUCCGUUGUGAAAACUGGAGGCUUAACCUCCAGACGUCGAUGGAAACCGUUUGGCUAGAGUCCGGAAGAGGAGAAUGGAAUUCCUGGUGUAGCGGUGAAAUGCGCAGAUAUCAGGAAGAACACCCGUGGCUAAGGCGGUUCUCUAGUACGGUACUGACGCUGAGACGCGAAAGCGUGGGGAGCGAACAGGAUUAGAUACCCUGGUAGUCCACGCCGUAAACGAUGGGUGCUAGGUGUGGGGGGUGUCGACUCCCCCCGUGCCGAAGCUAACGCAUUAAGCACCCCGCCUGGGGAGUACGGCCGCAAGGCUA